AUGACUUCUCGUAGUGAGGUGUUGUCUAUUUAUAAACGUUUUGCUGCCAUGGUUCAUACUCAGUUCUCUUCACCCAUUCGUGUUUUUCGUGCUGACUCCGCUAGCGAGUAUAUCUCUAAGAUGUUGCGUGGUGUUCUUGCUGAGCAAGGAACUCUCUCUCCAUUCUCCUGUCCUGGUGCUCAUGCUCAGAAUGGUGUGGCUGAGCGAAAGCAUCGACAUCUUCUUGAGACGGCUCAUGCAUUGAUGAUUGCUGCCUCUCUCCCGCCUCAUUUUUGGGCUGAGGCCGUCUCCACCUCCACCUAUCUUAUCAAUAUACAACCUUCCGCUGCUCUACAGGGUGGUGUUCCUUUCGAGCGUCUUUUUGAUCGUUCUCCCGAUUAUUCGAUGCUUCGCUUGUUUGGUUGUGUUUGUUAUGUUCUUCUUGCCCCUCGCGAACGCACCAAACUAACCGCUCAGUCUGUUGAGUGUGUCUUCUUAGGCUACAGUGAUGAGCAUAAGGGCUAUCAUUGUUGGGAUCCUAUCGGUCGUCGGAUGCGUAUCUCUCGUGACGUGACUUUUGAUGAGUCUCGUCCCUUCUACCCACGCCCAUCUUCCUUGAUUUUUUCAGUGGAGGAUAUCUCUUUCCUCACUUUUCCUGACUCACCUAUCACCCCCGUCGCGCAUGUGCCUAUUCGUUCCACUCCCUCUGCUUCUCCACCUCUAGUCGAUUUGCAGCCACCAUCUUCUCCGGUCUCCUCGCCUAGCAUGUCACCGGAUUCUACACCUUCAUCUCCGGUGACUUCUUCGUCGCCACCCCCCAAUUCUACCUUGACGAUUCCUCCUAUUGUUCCAUCUCUUCCUCAGCAUUACACUCGUCGUUCAUGA
This 864-nucleotide ribosomal RNA is filed under the name Triticum aestivum (bread wheat). RNAcentral's name for it is "partial small subunit ribosomal RNA". Lineage: Eukaryota; Viridiplantae; Streptophyta; Magnoliopsida; Poales; Poaceae. The record is from RNAcentral.